RNAcentral lists this ribosomal RNA (561 nucleotides) under uncultured bacterium. RNAcentral's name for it is "partial 16S ribosomal RNA". It matches the Rfam family "Bacterial small subunit ribosomal RNA", at positions 356 to 1375 of the family's 1533-position model. The record is from RNAcentral.
UGGGGAUAUUGCACAAUGGGCGAAAGCCUGAUGCAGCAACGCCGCGUGAGUGAUGAAGGCCUUCGGGUUGUAAAGCUCUGUCUUUUGGGACGAUAAUGACGGUACCAAAGGAGGAAGCCACGGCUAACUACGUGCCAGCAGCCGCGGUAAUACGUAGGUGGCAAGCGUUGUCCGGAUUUACUGGGCGUAAAGGAUGCGUAGGCGGAUUUUUAAGUGAGAUGUGAAAACCCUAAGCUUAACUUGGGGACUGCAUUUCAUACUGGAAAUCUAGAGUGCGGGAGAGGAGAAUGGAAUUCCUAGUGUAGCGGUGAAAUGCGUAGAGAUUAGGAAGAACACCAGUGGCGAAGGCGAUUCUCUGGACCGUAACUGACGCUGAGGCAUGAAAGCGUGGGUAGCAAACAGGAUUAGAUACCCUGGUAGUCCACGCCGUAAACGAUGAGUACUAGGUGUAGGAGGUAUCGACCCCUUCUGUGCCGCAGUUAACACAAUAAGUACUCCGCCUGGGAAGUACGAUCGCAAGAUUAAAACUUAAAUGAAUUGACGGGGUCAUAGCUGUUUCCU